AUAUCUCUUCGUACGGGAAGGAUGAGAAGCUUCGACUAAGGUUCGAUUCGAAGCGCAGCGAGAAAGCGUUGCCGCAGGCAACGACCCGAAGGGCGAAGCGCGCAGCGCUGAGUCAUCCUUCCCCCACCACCA
This 132-nucleotide small RNA is filed under the name Salmonella enterica subsp. enterica serovar Tennessee. RNAcentral describes it as "RtT RNA". It matches the Rfam family "RtT RNA". Rfam says of the family: This family represents a bacterial cis-regulatory element known as RtT RNA. The exact function of RtT is unknown although it is thought that it may be involved in changing the cellular response in relation to amino acid starvation. The record is from RNAcentral. Lineage: Bacteria; Pseudomonadati; Pseudomonadota; Gammaproteobacteria; Enterobacterales; Enterobacteriaceae.